Molecule: ribosomal RNA, 322 nt
Filed under: uncultured eukaryote
Lineage: Eukaryota
Description: partial 18S ribosomal RNA
Rfam family: Eukaryotic small subunit ribosomal RNA
Source: RNAcentral
CCCUUAGAUGUUCUGGGCCGCACGCGUGCUACACUGAGUAAUUCAAUGGGUAAGGGAACGCUAGAGCAUUACCUAAUCUUGAAAUUUGCUCGUGAUGGGGAUCGACGGUUGCAAUUUUCCGUCGUGAACGAGGAAUACCUUGUAGGCGCAUGUCAUCAUCAUGCGCCGAAUACGUCCCUGCCCCUUGUACACACCGCCCGUCGCUCCUACCGAUUGAGUGAUCCGGUGAGGCUCUGGGACCUGGACGGAAAGAGCGUUUCGCUUGUUCUGUUUGGGAAACUUGGUCGAACCUUAUCAUUUAGAGGAAGUAAAAGUCGUAACA